GUGCUGGCUCAUCACCAUUUGCAUGUAACAGAAUGUUAAGUAAGAAGCUGAGACCAAGGCACCAUGACGUAAUAACUGCUACAUUCCAACGGGUGUUUUCACACCUGCUAUACCAGGUGUGAAAUUUCAGAACAGCACAACGAAGAACCAGUAUAAUGACUUUUUAAUUAUCUCAUUCAUGUGGAGGACAAAAAGGGUCCAAGGAGGGGGACUGAGAGUGGAUUUUUGAGCAGAGCCAUUAGCAUGCUGUGUGUCUUAUCCCCAAAGGACGGAAGGAUGAAAGGGAUGUCUGCCCUCACCUCAAGCUGGAGCCAGAGAAAUGACAGUGUCUUGAGCAGAUUAAAGGGACAAUGGAAGACAAAAAGUAAGACUGCUUUGCAGAAAAUCCACCAGGAGUGCUGGAGUUCCAGACUUCCACUGACACACAGAGUGAGCCUUCCAUUGCUGGCCUCUAUGUCCACUUCUAGCUUUGUCUGAUCCUUUUCCUCACCCUCAUGCAACACUAUUAAAGGAAUUUUCCAUGCUCCCUG
This is a non-coding RNA of Macaca mulatta (Rhesus monkey), 530 nucleotides long. The record is from RefSeq and is a predicted model, not a curated record. Lineage: Eukaryota; Metazoa; Chordata; Mammalia; Primates; Cercopithecidae.